UCGCUUCUAGAACUAAAAUAAUUAGUCGAACAACCUAACAUCAUUACUUCUCCAUCGCUGGUAUCAGUACCAUCACUGUCUCUUACGCCACCACCGCAACUAACAUCAUUAGCACCACUACAACCAUCUCCCUCGUCACAACCAUAAUCAUCACCACCGUUUCUCCACCUCCUAAUCAAUCGAUUUAGAUCGAUUUUCACUUGAAUCAACUAUAAAACUUAAAUCUAUUGAUGGACCAACGCGAUUAAUCUCCAAAACCCAAUCUCGAGCAUCAUAAACGUUAGAUUCAUUUCGUUUUGUACAUGAAGCUCCAAAUCCUGAACUUACUUGAUUCACCUUUUGAACCCUAAAUUUGGAUCUCGUUCUUCUUCGAUCAUAAUUGAUUCAGGUUUUGAUGAGGAUUAGGAUGCUAAGAGAAAAAGGUUGGCGUAGUGUACCGGACAUUCACACAAUAUAUUUUAGGCGAUAAUUAUGACGUCGAAUGAUAGAACAGCUAUCAGCUCAGCUACUGAUGGCCAGGUGUUUAUUGAAGAUCUAAGAAGAUUUGAAGACAAAGAAUAUUUCUUAUUUGAGUUCAUA
Long non-coding RNA from Papaver somniferum (opium poppy), 579 nucleotides. RefSeq lists it as uncharacterized. The record is from RefSeq and is a predicted model, not a curated record. Lineage: Eukaryota; Viridiplantae; Streptophyta; Magnoliopsida; Ranunculales; Papaveraceae. The transcript has 3 exons.